RNA transcript from Nannospalax galili (Upper Galilee mountains blind mole rat), 4446 nucleotides. It is a transcript of the gene named mitogen-activated protein kinase kinase kinase kinase 3, with no coding region annotated. The transcript is spliced from 35 exons. The record is from RefSeq and is a predicted model, not a curated record. Lineage: Eukaryota; Metazoa; Chordata; Mammalia; Rodentia; Spalacidae.
GUCGAGCGAGGGGCGGGGGAGGAGCGGCCGGGCGGAAGCCAUGUUGGAGACUCACCGCGAGCGAGGGGCUGCGGGCGCGCUCCUCUCCUUGUGGGUGUGACCCGGGCUCCGCACGGCGGCGGGGGGCGGGGACGUUGGGUCGCUUGUCGUGGUCUGCGUCGGCCGCAGCGCGGAGCCGGGCGAUUGUGACCUGCGGCGCCGGCGGGCCGCGGACGCUCCUCCGUGCGGCCCUGAGCGCCCCCCCUCCCCGGGCCGGGAGGGAGGCGGGGGGCACCCGGGGCCCGCCAUGAACCCGGGCUUCGACCUGUCCCGCCGGAACCCGCAGGAGGACUUCGAGCUGAUCCAGCGCAUCGGCAGCGGCACCUACGGCGACGUCUACAAGGCACGGAAUGUUAACACUGGUGAAUUAGCAGCGAUUAAAGUAAUAAAAUUGGAACCAGGUGAAGACUUUGCAGUUGUGCAGCAAGAAAUCAUUAUGAUGAAAGACUGUAAACACCCAAAUAUUGUUGCUUAUUUUGGAAGCUAUCUAAGGCGAGAUAAACUUUGGAUUUGCAUGGAAUUUUGUGGUGGUGGCUCUUUACAGGAUAUAUAUCAUGUAACUGGACCUCUGUCAGAACCACAGAUUGCCUAUGUUAGCAGAGAAACACUACAGGGAUUAUAUUACCUUCACAGUAAAGGAAAAAUGCACAGAGAUAUAAAGGGAGCUAACAUUCUAUUAACGGACAAUGGUCAUGUGAAAUUAGCUGAUUUUGGAGUUUCUGCACAGAUAACAGCUACAAUUGCCAAACGGAAGUCUUUCAUUGGUACCCCAUACUGGAUGGCCCCAGAAGUGGCAGCUGUUGAGAGGAAAGGAGGAUAUAACCAGCUGUGUGACCUCUGGGCAGUGGGGAUCACUGCCAUAGAACUUGCGGAGCUCCAACCACCCAUGUUUGACCUUCAUCCGAUGAGAGCAUUAUUUCUAAUGACAAAAAGCAAUUUUCAACCUCCAAAACUAAAAGAUAAAAUGAAGUGGUCAAAUAGUUUCCAUCAUUUUGUGAAAAUGGCACUUACCAAAAAUCCGAAAAAAAGACCUACUGCAGAAAAGUUACUACAGCACCCUUUUGUUACACAGCCUUUGACGAGGUCUUUGGCAAUAGAGUUGCUAGAUAAAGUGAAUAAUCCAGAUCAUUCCACAUACCACGAUUUUGAUGAUGAUGACCCUGAGCCACUUGUUGCUGUACCACAUAGAAUUCAUUCAACAAGUAGAAAUGUGAGAGAAGAAAAAACCCGCUCAGAGAUAAACUUUGGCCAAGUAAAAUUUGAUCCACCCUUGAGAAAGGAGACAGAACCACAUCAUGAACUUCCCGACAGUGAUGGUUUUUUCGACAGUUCAGAAGAAAUAUACUACACUGCAAGAUCUAAUCUGGAUCUACAAUUAGAAUAUGGACAAGGACACCAAAGUAGUUACUUUUUAGGUGGAAACAAGAGUCUUCUAAAGUCUGUUGAAGAAGAAUUACAUCAGCGAGGACAUGUGGCACAUUUAGAAGAUGAUGAGGGGGAUGAUGAUGAAUCUAAACAUUCAACCAUGAAAGCUAAAGUCCCGCCACCCUUGCCGCCAAAGCCUAAGUCUAUCUUCAUACCCCAGGAGACUCAUUCUUCUGAGGAUGGUAAUCAAGGAACAGUCAAGCGAUGUCCCUCAUCAGGGAGCCCAGCAAAGCCAUCCCAAGUCCCACCUAGACCUCCUCCUCCCAGAUUACCCCCACAGAAGCCUGCUGCUUUAGGAAAUGGAGUGGGCUCCUUCCAGCUCAAUGGUGAGCGAGAUGGAUCACUGUAUCAGCAACAGAGUGAACAUAGGGGCACGAACCUGUCAAGAAAAGAGAAGAAAGAUGUACCAAAGCCCAUUAGUAAUGGUCUUCCCCCAACACCUAAAGUGCAUAUGGGAGCAUGUUUUUCAAAAGUUUUUAAUGGGUGUCCCUUGAAAAUUCACUGUGCAACAUCAUGGAUAAACCCAGACACAAGAGAUCAGUACUUGAUAUUUGGUGCCGAAGAGGGGAUUUAUACCCUUAAUCUUAAUGAACUUCAUGAAACAUCAAUGGAACAGCUAUUCCCUCGAAGGUGUACAUGGUUAUAUGUAAUGAACAAUUGCUUACUAUCAAUAUCUGGUAAAGCUUCUCAGCUUUAUUCCCAUAAUUUACCAGGGCUUUUUGAUUAUGCACGACAAAUGCAGAAGUUACCUGUAGCUAUUCCAGCACACAAGCUCCCUGAUAGAAUACUGCCAAGGAAAUUUGCUGUAUCAGCAAAAAUCCCUGACACCAAGUGGUGUCAGAAGUGUUGUGUUGUGAGAAAUCCUUACACAGGCCAUAAAUACCUAUGUGGGGCACUUCAGACUAGCAUUGUUCUGUUAGAAUGGGUUGAACCAAUGCAAAAAUUUAUGUUAAUUAAGCACAUAGACUUUCCCAUACCAUGUCCACUUAGGAUGUUUGAGAUGUUGGUGGUCCCUGAGCAGGAGUACCCUUUGGUCUGUGUUGGGGUCAGUAGAGGGCGAGACUUCAACCAGGUGGUUCGAUUUGAGACUGUCAAUCCAAAUUCUACCUCGUCGUGGUUUACAGAAUCAGAGCCAAAUGUGGUGGCACACACCUGUAAUCCCAGCACUUCGGAGGUGGAGGCAGGAGGAUCAGGAGUUCAAGGACAAUCUCAGCUACAUAAUACCCCACAGACAAACGUCACUCAUGUAAGCCAACUAGAGAGAGAUACCAUCCUUGUAUGCUUGGACUGUUGUAUAAAAAUAGUCAAUCUCCAAGGAAGAUUGAAAUCCAGCAGGAAAUUAUCAUCAGAACUCACGUUUGAUUUCCAGAUUGAAUCAAUAGUAAUUGAGCUGUUCUUGCCUGCUAGUUUGUCUACAAGACAGUGUGCUAGCUUUCUGGAAACAUGGAAUGCAAGGUAGAAGUUUUAGAUCUAAUGAGGUAACACAAGAAAUUUCAGAUAGCACAAGAAUUUUCAGGCUCCUUGGAUCUGACAGGGUCGUGGUUUUGGAAAGUAGGCCAACUGAUAACCCAACAGCAAAUAGCAAUUUAUACAUCUUGGCGGGUCAUGAAAACAGUUACUGAGAUGUGGCAUGCAUGGCAGGCACCUGCAGAGAAGACACGUGGCUUCAGCCUUACUGGAUGGAUGCUCCAGCCGUGCAGAGCUGUGCAGAGCUGUGAUAGCCGCUUUCGCUCCUUGUAAUUUAUUGUGGCAUGAGACAAGAUGGGGGGAAUUUCUGUUUUAAGUAGUAUGGAUAUAUUUAGCAUAUUGAACCACACAAGUGCUUAAUUCAUUGUUCUGUAAUCUUUGUACAUAUAAGCAGUAUUUUUCUGUGAAACUUCAUAUUGCUGAAGGCAUACACUAAGAAUCGAUGUAGAUAAUGUACUUUUAUGAGAUGUAAAAGUAAGUGUCUUAUCUGUACAGAUGUAAAUGUUGAUUAAAAUGCAACUGGGGUUAAUAUUUUAAGAAUUCUUUAGUAUAUUCUUGGGUGUGGUUAUAUUACAAAAUGGGAUGCUGGCAAUGAAACAAGACAUUUAACACUAUUGUAUUUUUAUUAUAUAUAAUUUAGUAAUAUGAAUAUAAAUCUUGUAACUUUUAAAAUUGUAAUGGAAGCUGUAAUCAUUUUAUAAUCUUGUUUUUAAUUUUAAUGCAAGUACACUGGUGUUUAUAUUUGCACAGAGUAUUGAUAUGUGAUGUAUUAAGUCACAAAGUAAGCUGUGACAUUGUGAAUAUGCAUUUGGCUCCACAACAUCUUUUUAAAAUGUAUUUGGAUUGUUUUCUAUGUGAGACAAACCAAUUUACCACCUGUUGUAGUAUCUGACCUUUUUAUAUUUAAGCAAAAUCCUGUAAGCUUGCUUGUCUGUGCUUAGAAUACACCUUUGGAAAAAAACUGAAAUCACAGAGUGGUCUUACCGUGAUAAAACGCUGCAGUUGUCUGGGUUACAGUGUGCACAAAGAAUACACUAGCAUUGUUAGAGUCACACUAGACAUUUCACAUAAUCACACUGAAGAACUGUAACAUUCCAGAGUGAAGUGAUUCAAAUUUCUAGUGGAAUUUUUACUUUUGUUGACCUUAUUUUAUGAUCACUUUCAUAUUUCUUUUAAUGUAGAGCAUUAACACAUGGCCAAAAUAAUUUAGUUACUACCUCAUACAAACAUUGUAAUGGUUACUACACACAUCACGGGAACUUAGUUUGGUUAAAAUCCUUUUUGAUUGGUUUUUUCCAGUGGACUAGAUAUAUCUAUAUAUAAAUAUAGGUAUAUAUGAGGUUGUAGCAGAGCUUACACCUCUGGCUCUUUUGGUAUAUGUUCUUUAUAUUUUGAUGUAUGUAUACACUAAGAACAAACUAAAUUGUGAUUUAUGCUCUUCAUUUAUUUUAAUUGAUAAUGGUUUUAAAUAUGUUCCUGAUUGUACAUAGUGUAAAAUAAACAUGUUUUUUAACA